GCAUUAAUGGGGUAGUGGUAACCUGGGUCGUUGCCAUCGUCAAUCCGUUUGGAAAGUCGACCCGCCGGGGGUUCGAUUCCCCCGUAAUGCA
Non-coding RNA from Dentipellis sp. KUC8613, 91 nucleotides. The record is from the annotation of a GenBank genome assembly. NCBI's taxonomy places the organism in Eukaryota, Fungi, Basidiomycota, Agaricomycetes, Russulales, Hericiaceae.